RNAcentral lists this precursor RNA (446 nucleotides) under Oryza sativa Japonica Group (Japanese rice). RNAcentral's name for it is "putative precursor microRNA R528". The stretch from base 275 to 361 matches the Rfam family "MIR528 microRNA precursor family". The record is from RNAcentral. Lineage: Eukaryota; Viridiplantae; Streptophyta; Magnoliopsida; Poales; Poaceae.
GUUAGAGCGCUUGCUCCAACGCUUCUGCAGUACAAGAGUACAGCUGAAAGCCAUAGUACACUGAUGAUAUUUGCAAGCCUGAAGUACAAGCCGCCCCUAACGAUCUCCCCCCCAUAUGUACUGCAGCUAACUUGUACUACUACCAGUGCACCAUGGCCGGGGUACAAAUAUGCCACCCUUCACCAAUGGAUGCAUCAGCAGCAGCCACAGCAAAAUUUGGUUUGGGAUAGGUAGGUGUUAUGUUAGGUCUGGUUUUUUGGCUGUAGCAGCAGCAGUGGAAGGGGCAUGCAGAGGAGCAGGAGAUUCAGUUUGAAGCUGGACUUCACUUUUGCCUCUCUCUCCUGUGCUUGCCUCUUCCAUUCCUGCUGCUAGGCUGUUCUGUGGAAGUUUGCAGAGUUUAUAUUAUGGGUUUAAUCGUCCAUGGCAUCAGCAUCAGCAGCGGUAGG